UACAGAGGGUGCAAGCGUUAAUCGGAAUUACUGGGCGUAAAGCGCGCGUAGGUGGUUUGUUAAGUUGAAUGUGAAAGCCCCGGGCUCAACCUGGGAACUGCAUCCAAAACUGGCAAGCUAGAGUACGGUAGAGGGUGGUGGAAUUUCCUGUGUAGCGGUGAAAUGCGUAGAUAUAGGAAGGAACACCAGUGGCGAAGGCGACCACCUGGACUGAUACUGACACUGAGGUGCGAAAGCGUGGGGAGCAAACAGG
This 253-nucleotide ribosomal RNA is filed under the name uncultured bacterium. RNAcentral's name for it is "partial 16S ribosomal RNA". It matches the Rfam family "Bacterial small subunit ribosomal RNA", at positions 524 to 776 of the family's 1533-position model. The record is from RNAcentral.